AUUGAACGCUGGCGGCAGGCCUAACACAUGCAAGUCGAGCGCGAAAACACUUCGGUGUGAGUAGAGCGGCGGACGGGUGAGUAAUGCUUGGGAAUCUGCCCAGUAGUGGGGGAUAACGUGUGGAAACGCACGCUAAUACCGCAUACGUCCUACGGGAGAAAGCAGGGGAUCUUCGGACCUUGCGCUAUUGGAUGAGCCCAAGUCGGAUUAGCUAGUUGGUGGGGUAAUGGCCUACCAAGGCGACGAUCCGUAGCUGGUCUGAGAGGAUGAUCAGCCACACUGGGACUGAGACACGGCCCAGACUCCUACGGGAGGCAGCAGUGGGGAAUAUUGCACAAUGGGCGAAAGCCUGAUGCAGCCAUGCCGCGUGUGUGAAGAAGGCUCUAGGGUUGUAAAGCACUUUCAGUAGGGAGGAAAAGCUUAAGGUUAAUAACCUUGAGCCCUGACGUUACCUACAGAAGAAGCACCGGCAAACUCCGUGCCAGCAGCCGCGGUAAUACGGAGGGUGCGAGCGUUAAUCGGAAUUACUGGGCGUAAAGCGCGCGUAGGUGGUUUGAUAAGCUAGCUGUGAAAGCCCCGGGCUCAACCUGGGAACUGCAGUUAGAACUGUCUGACUAGAGUACAGUAGAGGGUGGCGGAAUUUCCUGUGUAGCGGUGAAAUGCGUAGAUAUAGGAAGGAACAUCAGUGGCGAAGGCGGCCACCUGGACUGAUACUACACUGAG
This 723-nucleotide ribosomal RNA is filed under the name bacterium IMCC8933. RNAcentral's name for it is "bacterial SSU rRNA". It matches the Rfam family "Bacterial small subunit ribosomal RNA", at positions 28 to 750 of the family's 1533-position model. The record is from RNAcentral.